AUUCCAGCUCCAGUAGCGUAUAUUAAAGUUGUUGCAGUUAAAAAGCUCGUAGUUGGAUUUCUGGUUUCACAGAACUGGCCUACUUCCUCAAGGUCGUGUGCGCCGUGUUUUGUGUACCAUCCUUCUAGAAAUUGUGUUCCAUCCCUUCACUGGGAUAGAUCCGAGAUCUAGAUCUUUUACUUUGAAGAAAUUAGAGUGUUCAAAGCAGGCUCGCGCUGUGAAUACAUUAGCAUGGAAUAACGCGAGAGGACUCGGUCCUUAUUUUGUUGGUCUUCAAGGAUGGAGUAAUGAUUAAGAGGGACAGUUGGGGGCAUUCGUAUUUCAUUGCUAGAGGUGAAAUUUUUGGAUUUAUGAAAGACGAACUUCUGCGAAAGCAUUUGCCAAGGAUGUUUUCAUCA
This 398-nucleotide ribosomal RNA is filed under the name Pycnococcus sp. RNAcentral's name for it is "partial small subunit ribosomal RNA". It matches the Rfam family "Eukaryotic small subunit ribosomal RNA", at positions 582 to 975 of the family's 1831-position model. Lineage: Eukaryota; Viridiplantae; Chlorophyta; Pseudoscourfieldiophyceae; Pseudoscourfieldiales; Pycnococcaceae. The record is from RNAcentral.